This 586-nucleotide ribosomal RNA is filed under the name uncultured bacterium. Its description in RNAcentral is "bacterial SSU rRNA". It matches the Rfam family "Bacterial small subunit ribosomal RNA", at positions 338 to 916 of the family's 1533-position model. The record is from RNAcentral.
CCUACGGGAGGCAGCAGUGGGGAAUUUUGGACAAUGGGGGCAACCCUGAUCCAGCCAUUCCGCGUGAGUGAAGAAGGCCUUCGGGUUGUAAAGCUCUUUCGCAAGGGAAGAAAGCUUAUGAUCGAAUAAAUCAUGAGGUUGACGGUACCUUGAUAAGAAGCACCGGCUAACUACGUGCCAGCAGCCGCGGUAAUACGUAGGGUGCGAGCGUUAAUCGGAAUUACUGGGCGUAAAGCGUGCGCAGGCGGUUUUGUAAGUCGGAUGUGAAAUCCCCGGGCUCAACCUGGGAACUGCGUUCGAAACUGCAAGGCUAGAGUGUGUCAGAGGGGGGUAGAAUUCCACGUGUAGCAGUGAAAUGCGUAGAGAUGUGGAGGAAUACCAAUGGCGAAGGCAGCCCCCUGGGAUAACACUGACGCUCAUGCACGAAAGCGUGGGGAGCAAACAGGAUUAGAUACCCUGGUAGUCCACGCCCUAAACGAUGUCAACUAGUUGUUGGUAGAGUAAAAUCUAUGAGUAACGUAGCUAACGCGUGAAGUUGACCGCCUGGGGAGUACGGUCGCAAGAUUAAAACUUAAGGAAUUGACGG